UACAGAGGUCUCAAGCGUUGUUCGGAUUCAUUGGGCGUAAAGGGUGCGUAGGUGGCGCUGUAAGUCGGGUGUGAAAUUUCGGAGCUUAACUCCGAAACUGCAUUCGAUACUGCGGUGCUUGAGGACUGGAGAGGAGACUGGAAUUCAUGGUGUAGCAGUGACAUGCGUAGAGAUCAUGAGGAAGACCAGUGGCGAAGGCGGGUCUCUGGACAGUUCCUGACACUGAGGCACGAAGGCCAGGGGAGCAAACGGG
Molecule: ribosomal RNA, 253 nt
Filed under: uncultured bacterium
Lineage: Bacteria
Description: partial 16S ribosomal RNA
Rfam family: Bacterial small subunit ribosomal RNA
Source: RNAcentral